ACUCAAAUGAAUUGACGGGGACCCGCACAAGCGGUGGAGCAUGUGGUUUAAUUCGAGGCUACGCGAAGAACCUUACCCAGGCUUGACAUGUAGUUGACUGUGAAUGAAAGUUCAUUUUCCCGCAAGGGACGAUUACACAGGUGCUGCAUGGCUGUCGUCAGCUCGUGCUGUGAAGUGUUGGGUUAAGUCCCGCAACGAGCGCAACCUUUACCCUUAGUUGCCAUCAUUAAGUUGGGCACUCUAGGGGGACUGCCGGUGAUAAACUGGAGGAAGGGGGAGAUGACGUCAAGUCAGUAUGGCCCUUAUGCCUGGGGCUACACACGUGCUACAAUGGCCGCCACAAUGGGCUGCAAACCCGCGAGGGGGAGCUAAUCCCAAAAAAACGGCCCCAGUUCAGAUCGCAGGCUGCAAUUCGCCUGCGUGAAGUCGGAAUCGCUAGUAACGGUACAUCAGCAUCGGUACCGUGAAUACGUUCCCGGGUCUUGUACACACCGCCCGU
This 499-nucleotide ribosomal RNA is filed under the name uncultured bacterium. RNAcentral's name for it is "partial 16S ribosomal RNA". It matches the Rfam family "Bacterial small subunit ribosomal RNA", at positions 899 to 1397 of the family's 1533-position model. The record is from RNAcentral.